RNAcentral lists this ribosomal RNA (687 nucleotides) under uncultured Nitrososphaerota archaeon. RNAcentral's name for it is "bacterial SSU rRNA". It matches the Rfam family "Archaeal small subunit ribosomal RNA", at positions 64 to 758 of the family's 1478-position model. Lineage: Archaea; Thermoproteati; Nitrososphaerota. The record is from RNAcentral.
GUAGCAAUACGUGGCGCACGGCUCAGUAACACGUAGUCAACAUGCCCAGAGGACGUGGAUAACCUCGGGAAACUGAGUCUAAACCGCGAUAAGUGAGGAUUUCUGGAAUGGUUCCUGACUAAAAUCUAUAUGGCCUCUGGAUUGGACUGCGGCCGAUCAGGCUGUUGGUGAGGUAAUGGCCCACCAAACCUGUAACCGGUACGGGCUCUGAGAGGAGGAGCCCGGAGAUGGGCACUGAGACAAGGGCCCAGGCCCUAUGGGGCGCAGCAGGCGCGAAACCUCUGCAAUAGGCGAAAGCCUGACAGGGUUACUCUGAGUGACUUUCGCUAAGAAAGUCUUUUGGCACCUCUAAAAAGGGUGCAGAAUAAGGGGUGGGCAAGUCUGGUGUCAGCCGCCGCGGUAAUACCAGCACCCCGAGUGGUCGGGACGAUUAUUGGGCCUAAAGCAUCCGUAGCCGGUUCUGCAAGUCCCCCGUUAAAUCCAGCUGCUCAACAGAUGGGCCGCGGAGGAUACUACAGAGCUAGGAGGCAGGAGAGGCAAGCGGUACUCAGUGGGUAGGGGUAAAAUCCGUUGAUCCAUUGAAGACCACCAGUGGCGAAGGCGGCUUGCCAGAAUGCGCUCGACGGUGAGGGAUGAAAGCUGGGGGAGCAAACCGGAUUAGAUACCCGGGUAGUCCCAGCUGUAAAC